GAUCGGGCUUACACUCAUCACCCUGUGACAUACCUAAAACGUUGCUUCGGCGGGAACAGACGGCCCUGUAACAACGGGCCGCCCCCGCCAGAGGACCCCUAACUCUGUUUUUAUAAUGUUUUUCUGAGUAAACAAGCAAAUAAAUUAAAACUUUCAACAACGGAUCUCUUGGCUCUGGCAUCGAUGAAGAACGCAGCGAAAUGCGAUAAGUAAUGUGAAUUGCAGAAUUCAGUGAAUCAUCGAAUCUUUGAACGCACAUUGCGCCCGCCAGUAUUCUGGCGGGCAUGCCUGUUCGAGCGUCAUUACAACCCUCAGGCCCCCGGGCCUGGCGUUGGGGAUCGGCGGAAGCCCCCUGUGGGCACACGCCGUCCCUCAAAUACAGUGGCGGUCCCGCCGCAGCUUCCAUUGCGUAGUAGCUAACACCUCGCAACUGGAGAGCGGCGCGGCCAUGCCGUAAAACACCCAACUUCUGAAUGUUGACCUCGAAUCAGGUAGGAAUACCCGCUGAACUUAAGCAUAUCAAA
RNAcentral lists this ribosomal RNA (524 nucleotides) under Fusarium solani. Its description in RNAcentral is "eukaryotic LSU rRNA". The stretch from base 149 to 302 matches the Rfam family "5.8S ribosomal RNA". The record is from RNAcentral. Lineage: Eukaryota; Fungi; Ascomycota; Sordariomycetes; Hypocreales; Nectriaceae.